GCGGUAAGGCCCCUUCGGGGGUACACGAGCGGCGAACGGGUGAGUAACGCGUGGGUAACCUGCCCAGAAGUGGGGGAUAGCCCCGGGAAACCGGGGGUAAUACCGCAUGUGCUCCUGCCGACGCAAGUCGGCUUUUGGAAAGACGGGGAUCCUUCGGGACCUGUCGCUUCUGGAUGGGCCCGCGUCCGAUUAGCUAGUUGGUAGGGUAACGGCCUACCAAGGCGACGAUCGGUAGCCGGCCUGAGAGGGUGAACGGCCACAUUGGGACUGAGACACGGCCCAGACUCCUACGGGAGGCAGCAGUGGGGAAUCUUGGGCAAUGGGCGCAAGCCUGACCCAGCGACGCCGCGUGGAGGAUGAAGGCCUUCGGGUUGUAAACUCCUGUCAGGUGGGAAGAAAUCUCCGCCGGCCAAUACCCGGCGGCGUUGACGGUACCACCAAAGGAAGCCCCGGCUAACUCCGUGCCAGCAGCCGCGGUAAUACGGAGGGGGCAAGCGUUAUUCGGAUUUACUGGGCGUAAAGCGCACGUAGGCGGCAUUGCAAGUCGUAGGUGAAAGCCC
This 560-nucleotide ribosomal RNA is filed under the name uncultured Acidobacteriota bacterium. Its description in RNAcentral is "bacterial SSU rRNA". It matches the Rfam family "Bacterial small subunit ribosomal RNA", at positions 66 to 603 of the family's 1533-position model. Lineage: Bacteria; Pseudomonadati; Acidobacteriota. The record is from RNAcentral.